UAAGCAUAUCAAUAAGCGGAGGAAAAGAAACCAACAGGGAUUGCCCUAGUAACGGCGAGUGAAGCGGCAACAGCUCAAAUUUGAAAUCUGGCUCUCGGGCCCGAGUUGUAAUUUGUAGAGGAUACUUUUGAUGCGGUGCCUUCCGAGUUCCCUGGAACGGGACGCCAUAGAGGGUGAGAGCCCCGUCUGGUUGGAUGCCAAAUCUCUGUAAAGUUCCUUCGACGAGUCGAGUAGUUUGGGAAUGCUGCUCUAAAUGGGAGGUAUAUGUCUUCUAAAGCUAAAUACCGGCCAGAGACCGAUAGCGCACAAGUAGAGUGAUCGAAAGAUGAAAAGCACUUUGAAAAGAGAGUUAAAAAGUACGUGAAAUUGUUGAAAGGGAAGCGUUUAUGACCAGACUUGGGCUUGGUUAAUCAUCUGGGGUUCUCCCCAGUGCACUUUUCCAGUCCAGGCCAGCAUCAGUUUUCGCCGGGGGAUAAAGACUUCGGGAAUGUGGCUCUCUUCGGGGAGUGUUAUAGCCCGUUGUGUAAUACCCUGGCGGGGACUGAGGUUCGCGCAUCUGCAAGGAUGCUGGCGUAAUGGUCAUCAACGACCCGUCUUGAAACACGGACCAAGGAGUCGUCUUCGUAUGCGAGUGUUCGGGUGUCAAACCCCUACGCGUAAUGAAAGUGAACGCAGGUGAGAGCUUCGGCGCAUCAUCGACCGAUCCUGAUGUUCUCGGAUGGAUUUGAGUAAGAGCAUACGGGGCCGGACCCGAAAGAAGGUGAACUAUGCCUGUAUAGGGUGAAGCCAGAGGAAACUCUGGUGGAGGCUCGCAGCGGUUCUGACGUGCAAAUCGAUCGUCAAAUAUGGGCAUGGGGGCGAAAGACUAAUCGAACCUUCUAGUAGCUGGUUUCCGCC
This 897-nucleotide ribosomal RNA is filed under the name Fusarium verticillioides. RNAcentral's name for it is "LSU rRNA". It matches the Rfam family "Eukaryotic large subunit ribosomal RNA", at positions 35 to 962 of the family's 3401-position model. Lineage: Eukaryota; Fungi; Ascomycota; Sordariomycetes; Hypocreales; Nectriaceae. The record is from RNAcentral.